Molecule: ribosomal RNA, 460 nt
Filed under: uncultured bacterium
Lineage: Bacteria
Description: partial 16S ribosomal RNA
Rfam family: Bacterial small subunit ribosomal RNA
Source: RNAcentral
CCUACGGGUGGCAGCAGUGAGGAAUAUUGGUCAAUGGGCGCGAGCCUGAACCAGCCAAGUAGCGUGAAGGAUGACUGCCCUACGGGUUGUACACUUCUUUUAUAAAGGAAUAAAGUGAGGCAAGUGUGCCUUUUUGUAUGUACUUUAUGAAUAAGGAUCGGCUAACUCCGCGCCAGCAGCCGCGGUAAUACGGAGGAUCCGAUCGUUAUCCGGAUUUAUUGGGUUUAAAGUGAGCGUAGAUGGGUUGUUAAGUCAGUUGUGAAAGUUUGCGGCUCAACCUGAAAAUUGAAAUUGAUACUGGCAGUCUUGAGUACAGUUGAGGUAGGCGGAAUUCGUGGUGUAGCGGUGAAAUGCUUAGAUAUCACGAAGAACUCCGAUUGCGAAGGCAGCUUACUAAACUGCCACUGACAUUGAUGCUCGAAAGUGUGGGUAUCAAACAGGAUUAGAUACCCCAGUAGUC